This 460-nucleotide ribosomal RNA is filed under the name uncultured bacterium. RNAcentral's name for it is "partial 16S ribosomal RNA". It matches the Rfam family "Bacterial small subunit ribosomal RNA", at positions 338 to 795 of the family's 1533-position model. The record is from RNAcentral.
CCUACGGGGGGCAGCAGUGAGGAAUAUUGGUCAAUGGACGAGAGUCUGAACCAGCCAAGUAGCGUGAAGGAUGACUGUCCUAUGGGUUGUAAACCUCUUUUAUAUGGGAAUAAAAUGUUCCACGUGUGGGAUUUUGUAUGUACCAUAUGAAUAAGGAUCGGCUAACUCCGUGCCAGCAGCCGCGGUAAUACGGAGGAUCCGAGCGUUAUCCGGAUUUAUUGGGUUUAAAGGGUGCGUAGGUGGAUUGUUAAGUCAGUUGUGAAAGUUUGCGGCUCAACCGUAAAAUUGCAGUUGAAACUGGCAGUCUUGAGUAUGGUAGAGGUAGGCGGAAUUCGUGGUGUAGCGGUGAAAUGCGUAGAUAUCACGAAGAACACUGAUUGCGAAGGCAGCUCGCUGGAAUGUAACUGACACUGAGGCUCGAAAGUGUGGGUAUCAAACAGGAUUAGAUACCCGUGUAGUC